RNAcentral lists this ribosomal RNA (408 nucleotides) under Triticum aestivum (bread wheat). RNAcentral's name for it is "partial small subunit ribosomal RNA". The record is from RNAcentral. Lineage: Eukaryota; Viridiplantae; Streptophyta; Magnoliopsida; Poales; Poaceae.
AUGGCAGCUACCAGCAAAAGGAAUAGUAGGACCGGAGAAGGAAAGCGACGCCAUACCAGAAGGAUUAGCACAGGUGCGUCUCCCGGCAACGCGCGGUCGUCGCCGGAGACCCAGUCGAGGGCGACGGCUCCGUCGUCAGGGGUGCGUAGGCACUCGCGCCGGAAUGCCACGGUGGGGAGCGAGCGCGUGAAGGCCGCGAAGAUGGUCUCGACGUGGCGGUUGGACGCGAAGACGGGGAAGGCGCGGUACGGGCGGCGGAGGCUGUCGAAGCCGGCGAGGAGGCCGCGCCGCGCGCCGGCGAUCUCGAGGCUCGAGUGCGGGAGGAGAGGCUGCUCCCCGUCGCCGUCGCAGCUUCGAGAGGAGAUGACGGAGGAGGAGAGCGACAUGGUGGUUGGUAGGAGUAGGUAG